GGGCCUGUAGCUCAGAUGGGAGAGCACCUGGUUUGCAACCAGGGGGUCGGGAGUUCGAGCCUCCCCAGGUCCACCA
Molecule: transfer RNA, 76 nt
Filed under: Terriglobia bacterium
Lineage: Bacteria; Pseudomonadati; Acidobacteriota; Terriglobia
Description: tRNA-Ala
Rfam family: tRNA
About the family: Transfer RNA (tRNA) molecules are approximately 80 nucleotides in length. Their secondary structure includes four short double-helical elements and three loops (D, anti-codon, and T loops). Further hydrogen bonds mediate the characteristic L-shaped molecular structure. tRNAs have two regions of fundamental functional importance: the anti-codon, which is responsible for specific mRNA codon recognition, and the 3' end, to which the tRNAs corresponding amino acid is attached (by aminoacyl-tRNA synthetases). tRNAs cope with the degeneracy of the genetic code in two manners: having more than one tRNA (with a specific anti-codon) for a particular amino acid; and 'wobble' base-pairing, i.e. permitting non-standard base-pairing at the 3rd anti-codon position.
Source: RNAcentral